RNAcentral lists this ribosomal RNA (482 nucleotides) under uncultured bacterium. RNAcentral's name for it is "SSU rRNA". It matches the Rfam family "Bacterial small subunit ribosomal RNA", at positions 26 to 521 of the family's 1533-position model. The record is from RNAcentral.
AGAACGAACGCUGGCGGCAUGCCUAACACAUGCAAGUCGAACGCUUCCGGGGCUUCGGUCGCGGAGGAGUGGCGCACGGGUGAGUAGCGCGUGGGAACCUGCCCUGUUGUGGGGGAUAACCGAGGGAAACUUCGGCUAAUACCGCAUACGCCCCGGGACUUGGUCUUCGGAUUAGGUCUGGGGGGAAAGAUUGAUCGCAGCAGGAGGGGCCCGCGUCAGAUUAGCUGGUUGGUGGGGUAACGGCUCACCAAGGCGAUGAUCCGUAGCUGGUCUGAGAGGAUGAUCAGCCACACUGGGACUGAGACACGGCCCAGACUCCUACGGGAGGCAGCAGUGGGGAAUAUUGGACAAUGGGGGCAACCCUGAUCCAGCAAUGCCGCGUGAGUGAUGAAGGCCUUAGGGUUGUAAAGCUCUUUCGCCCGCGACGAUGAUGACGGUAGCGGGAGAAGAAGCCCGGCUAACUUCGCGCCAGCAGCCGCGGU